GCCAGCAUGGCAUAGUGGUUUGAUUGCGACUCUGGAAGCCAGGGUUCGAUUCCCAGCUCUGCCA
Molecule: non-coding RNA, 64 nt
Organism: Phrynosoma platyrhinos (Desert horned lizard)
Lineage: Eukaryota; Metazoa; Chordata; Lepidosauria; Squamata; Phrynosomatidae
Source: the annotation of a GenBank genome assembly